This 394-nucleotide unclassified non-coding RNA is filed under the name soil metagenome. Its description in RNAcentral is "partial contains 5.8S ribosomal RNA, internal transcribed spacer 2, and large subunit ribosomal RNA". The stretch from base 1 to 120 matches the Rfam family "5.8S ribosomal RNA", at positions 35 to 154 of the family's 154-position model. The record is from RNAcentral.
GAUGAAGAACGCAGCGAAAUGCGAUACGUAAUGUGAAUUGCAGAAUUCAGUGAAUCAUCGAAUCUUUGAACGCACCUUGCGCUCCUUGGUAUUCCGAGGAGCAUGCCUGUUUGAGUGUCAGUUAAUUCUCAACCCCCUCUGGCUUUUGUAGCUGGAUUGCGGGGCUUGGAUGUGGAGGUUUAUGCUGGUUCUCUUAGAGAGUCAGCUCCUCUGAAAUGCAUUAGCGGAACCGUUUGCGAUCCGUCACUGGUGUGAUAAUUAUCUACGCCAAUUGGGGUUGCUCAUUGUUUGUUCAGCUUCUAAUAGUCCCUCUUACUGGGACAGCUUUUUGAACUCUUGACCUCAAAUCAGGUAGGACUACCCGCUGAACUUAAGCAUAUCAAUAAGCGGAGGA